CGGGAAAUCCUUUAGGUGAUAGCGAGGUGCUCGGAAGCACGUAACACAGGUGCUGCAUGGCUGUCGUCAGCUCGUGUCGUGAGAUGUUGGGUUAAGUCCCGCAACGAGCGCAACCCUUGUCAUUAGUUGCUACAUUCAGUUGGGCACUCUAAGGAGACUGCCGGUGUUAAACCGGAGAAGUGGGGAUGACGUCAAGUCCUCAUGGCCCUUAUGUCCAGGGCUACACACGUGCUACAAUGGCCGGUACAAAGGGCUGCCAAGCCGCGAGGUGGAGCCAAUCCCAGAAAGCCGAUCGUAGUCCGGAUUGUUCUCUGCAACUCGAGAGCAUGAAGUCGGAAUCGCUAGUAAUCGCGGAUCAGCAUGUCGCGGUGAAUACGUUCCCGGGUCUU
This 389-nucleotide ribosomal RNA is filed under the name uncultured Comamonadaceae bacterium. RNAcentral's name for it is "bacterial SSU rRNA". It matches the Rfam family "Bacterial small subunit ribosomal RNA", at positions 992 to 1382 of the family's 1533-position model. Lineage: Bacteria; Pseudomonadati; Pseudomonadota; Betaproteobacteria; Burkholderiales; Comamonadaceae. The record is from RNAcentral.